ACAUGUCAUAUUCUAUAACCCGUGCUUAACUGAGAACCAAAGCAAGCAACUGCUUGAUAUGAAAAUAAAGAAUUGCCAGUGAUUGCACAAGAGUUUCUCUAGGAAACUGACUGUUCAUUCCACAUCUUGGUUGAUUAAGCAAAUCCUUCCAAAGGUGCUUGAUGAAAUUCUGGUACGAGAUAUGGGUCCAUGGAGAACUCCUUCCUCGCCAUCGGCCUCCUCUCCGAUGCUCGGCUCCAGGUGCACUUGCCAUCCGUCAAACAAGCCUGCCAUCCAUCCAUCUUUCCUCGUUGUACCGAACACCCCAUCUGCUCCCUUUCCUUCCUCCAUCGACGACGCCGCCCAGGCCUCCACCAUCCCCAACAGAUGUCCCUCCAGCA
This is a long non-coding RNA of Lolium rigidum, 380 nucleotides long. RefSeq lists it as uncharacterized. The record is from RefSeq and is a predicted model, not a curated record. The transcript has 3 exons. Lineage: Eukaryota; Viridiplantae; Streptophyta; Magnoliopsida; Poales; Poaceae.